GGACGAACGCUGGCGGCGUGCUUAACACAUGCAAGUCGAGCGGUAAGGCCCUUUCGGGGGUACGACGAGCGGCGAACGGGUGAGUAACACGUGGGUGACCUGCCCUCAGCUCUGGGAUAAGCCUGGGAAACCGGUCUAAUACCGGAUAUGACUCCAUGACGCAUGUUGUGGGGUGGAAAGCCUUGUGCGGCUGAAGAUGGCCCGCGGCCUAUCAGCUUGUUGGUGGGGUGAUGGCCUACCAAGGCGACGACGGGUAGCCGGCCUGAGAGGGCGACCGGCCACACUGGGACUGAGACACGGCCCAGACUCCUACGGGAGGCAGCAGUGGGGAAUCUUGCGCAAUGGGCGAAAGCC
This 354-nucleotide ribosomal RNA is filed under the name uncultured bacterium. RNAcentral describes it as "bacterial SSU rRNA". It matches the Rfam family "Bacterial small subunit ribosomal RNA", at positions 27 to 383 of the family's 1533-position model. The record is from RNAcentral.